GUCGAAGCGUGUUACUCGGAGUGGACGACAUGGACAUCUUCAAAGGUAUCAGCUUAAAACUCUUGUCGAUGGAGCAACUACUUGAGCAACAUCCGGAGUGGAUCGGGAAGGUAGUUUUGGUGCAAAUUGCGAACCCUGCGAGAGGCCGCGGACGGGAUGUGCAAGAGGUGCAGUCUGAGACAUAUUCUACGGCCAGACGGAUAAAUGAGAGGUUUGGGAGCCCGGACUAUGAGCCAGUCAUACUCAUCGACAGCCCGCUUCAGUUCUUCGAGAGGAUUGCUUACUAUGUGAUUGCGGAGUGCUGCCUUGUCACCGCAGUGAGGGAUGGAAUGAAUCUGAUACCGUACGAGUACAUAUGUUGCCGGCAGGGGAAUGAGGUGUUGGAUCAUGCACUGCAGUUGGACCCGUCAGUGCUGAAGAAGAGCAUGCUUGUUGUCUCCGAAUUUGUCGGUUGUUCCCCAUCUCUUAGCGGGGCAAUACGUGUGAAUCCAUGGAACAUAGAUGCAGUGGCUGAAGCGAUGGAGACUGCUUUGGUGAUGCGAGAGCAAGAAAA
This 553-nucleotide unclassified non-coding RNA is filed under the name Hevea brasiliensis (rubber tree). Lineage: Eukaryota; Viridiplantae; Streptophyta; Magnoliopsida; Malpighiales; Euphorbiaceae. The record is from RNAcentral.